Molecule: ribosomal RNA, 396 nt
Filed under: uncultured Pseudomonas sp.
Lineage: Bacteria; Pseudomonadati; Pseudomonadota; Gammaproteobacteria; Pseudomonadales; Pseudomonadaceae
Description: bacterial SSU rRNA
Rfam family: Bacterial small subunit ribosomal RNA
Source: RNAcentral
UGCAGAGAACUUUCCAGAGAUGGAUUGGUGCCUUCGGGAACUCUGACACAGGUGCUGCAUGGCUGUCGUCAGCUCGUGUCGCGAGAUGUUGGGUUAAGUCCCGUAACGAGCGCAACCCUUGUCCUUAGUUACCAGCACGUUAUGGUGGGCACUCUAAGGAGACUGCCGGUGACAAACCGGAGGAAGGUGGGGAUGACGUCAAGUCAUCAUGGCCCUUACGGCCUGGGCUACACACGUGCUACAAUGGUCGGUACAAAGGGUUGCCAAGCCGCGAGGUGGAGCUAAUCCCAUAAAACCGAUCGUAGUCCGGAUCGCAGUCUGCAACUCGACUGCGUGAAGUCGGAAUCGCUAGUAAUCGUGAAUCAGAAUGUCACGGUGAAUACGUUCCCGGGCCUU